This 903-nucleotide ribosomal RNA is filed under the name Ophiophthalmus serratus. RNAcentral's name for it is "12 ribosomal RNA". The stretch from base 460 to 894 matches the Rfam family "Microsporidia small subunit ribosomal RNA", at positions 752 to 1303 of the family's 1311-position model. The record is from RNAcentral. Lineage: Eukaryota; Metazoa; Echinodermata; Ophiuroidea; Amphilepidida; Ophiacanthidae.
UAUAAAUUUGGUUCUGGUUUUUUUAAUUGGAUAUUGCUGAGGUUUAUACAUGCAAGUUAAUCAGCAAGACGGUGAGGGUUGUAGUGGUGUUUUAUAAUGUUUAAAAUAUUAAAUCAUUGAAGCAAUAAAGAUUACUAUUAAAAUAGUUAAUGGAUAAGAAAUAUAUAUACACAACUGCAGUAAUGGACAAUAAUUAAUAAUUGAAGAAUUGACUAUACCAAGGGUAUAGUAGAGACCGACUAAAAUAUCGUGCCAGCAGUCGCGGUUAAACGAAUAGUCUUUUUAAUAAAUUAAAUGGCUUAAUAUGGGUAAAGUAUAAUAAAUAACUUUUAAAAGUCUAUAAUUCUCGGGGUGAAAUCCGUUUAUAGCCGAAAAAAUAUUAGUACAGUGACCAUGAAACUAGGAGUGAAGACCCGGAUUGGAUACCCGGUUAUUUCUUAAGAUUAAAAUUAAAUGCCUGUGGAGUACGGGGUUAUCCUUGAGAAACAAAGAACUUGGCGGUUAUCUAUUUCUGAUUAGGGGAGCUUGCUUGAAGAAAACGGUGAUCCACGAAGAACCUUACCUAUUCUUGAUAUACAGCCUCUAUAUCGUCGUCAUUAAGUUUUCAUCCAAAGUUAGAAGACAAAACUAUUAAAUAAUAAGGUUAACAAAGGAUAAGAUGUCAGAUCUUGAUGGAGCUUAUGAAUAGGUGAGAGUGGGCUACAGUAGCUUUAUAGCUAGUAAAGUUUGGAUUAUUUUAUGAAAAAAAAAUAUGAAAUAGGACUUAAUAAUAACUAAAAAAAGGAGCAAGGAAUAGUGAAGUUAGCUCUAGAUUUCGUACACAUCGCCCGUCACCUGCGGGGUUAAACCUGGAGUAAGUCGUAACAUAGUAGGUGUACCGGAAGGUGCGGCCUAGCAAAGAAU